GAGUUUGAUCCUGGCUCAGGAUGAACGCUGGCGGCGUGCUUAACACAUGCAAGUCGAACGAAACACCUUAUUUGAUUUUCUUCGGAACUGAAGAUUUGGUGAUUGAGUGGCGGACGGGUGAGUAACGCGUGGGUAACCUGCCCUGUACAGGGGGAUAACAGUCAGAAAUGACUGCUAAUACCGCAUAAGACCACAGCACCGCAUGGUGCAGGGGUAAAAACUCCGGUGGUACAGGAUGGACCCGCGUCUGAUUAGCUGGUUGGUGAGGUAACGGCCCACCAAGGCGACGAUCAGUAGCUGGACUGAGAGGUUGAACGGCCACAUUGGGACUGAGACACGGCCCAGACUCCUACGGGAGGCAGCAGUGGGGAAUAUUGCGCAAUGGGGGAAACCCUGACGCAGCAACGCCGCGUGAUUGAAGAAGGCCUUCGGGUUGUAAAGAUCUUUAAUCAGGGACGAAAAAUGACGGUACCUGAAGAAUAAGCUCCGGCUAACUACGUGCCAGCCGCCGCGGUAAUAC
Molecule: ribosomal RNA, 520 nt
Filed under: uncultured bacterium
Lineage: Bacteria
Description: bacterial SSU rRNA
Rfam family: Bacterial small subunit ribosomal RNA
Source: RNAcentral